RNAcentral lists this long non-coding RNA (2645 nucleotides) under Brassica napus (rape). RNAcentral describes it as "long non-coding RNA (BNAP_LNC001256)". Lineage: Eukaryota; Viridiplantae; Streptophyta; Magnoliopsida; Brassicales; Brassicaceae. The record is from RNAcentral.
CCGUAGCAAAAAUCUCAUUGAGCUUCCAUGAAUCAGGGACAGGAGAAGGUUUAACUCUGUCCUUCGAGAUAGUCAUGAUAGUUCCAUCAUUAAGGAUUGCGAUAAUCAAAACCAUGAAAGGUGCAAAAUCAAAUCGCCAUAUCAAAGCCACAAGCAUGAAUCCCAAAACAAUACGAAUGGUGAUGGAGACAGCAUAGAUCGUGUAGUUCUUCAUCCUCUGGAAGAUUGCACGACUUGUAAGAACGGCACUCACUAUCACGCUUAGUCCAGGUUCCGUUAGCACAAUGUCAGAGGCGCUUCUUGCCGCAUCAGUUGCAUCAGCCACAGCGAUUCCAAUAUCUGCUUUCUUCAAAGCUGGAGCGUCGUUUACGCCAUCUCCAGUCAUCCCACAAAUGUGCUUCCUCUCUUGAAGCUUCUUUACAAUCUCAUACUUGUGCUCUGUGUAAGCCAAAUGAAAAAAAUUUAUAUAUAUAUAUAUAUAUAUAUAUUUUUUUUUUCUUGUUGAAUAUUUAAAUUUGACUAGAACAUAUAAUCUAUAGUUUGCGAUAGUGUGGUAUACUAGUUAAAAAAACAUUCGAAUUUAUAUAUAUUACCAGGGAAAACUCCAGCAAAUCCAUCAGCUUUCUCAAUGAGCUCAUCGACAGGGAUCCCAACUAAUGAUUCAUCCUUUGAAUUUCCAAGGAGUGAAGUGGAUGGGUACAUAUUUGUUCCCAUACCAAGCCUACGCCCGGUCUCUAUUCCAAUGGCAAGUUGGUCACCAGUAAUCAUUUUAACGUUGACACCAAGCUCAAGGGCUCGUCUGAUCGUUUCUGCACUAUCAUGUCUUGGGGGAUCAAACAGUGGCAAUAGACCAAUAAACUCCCAUGGACUACCAUCGCUUUCCUUGCUCUUUUCAGGUACAGUCUACAUUUGAACACAAACGAAUGUAAAAGAAAAAAAAUACAAUUGUAAAAACGAUUUUUAAGUGAUGAGUGUUUCUGUUACAUACUUGUUGAGCAACUCCAAGAGAACGAAGCCCACGUUCAGCAAAACCAUCAAUCACUUCAUGAGCUUUUCUUCUAGCCUCUCCUUGGAGAUUGCAGAGUUCAAUGAUCUUAAAAAAAAAAAGGUGGUAUUAGGUAAAAGAGAAAACAUAUAAUAAGUUUCACUAAUAUAGAUCUUAGUUUCUAUUACUUGCUCAGGAGCUCCUUUGCUGCUCCGAUACCAUUCUCCAUUUUCAUCAAUGUAUGUAAUGGCUGUACGUUUAUCGACAGGGUUAAAAGGCAAGAAAUGCACCUCUUUGAUUCCUUCUCUCGCCUAGUGAUCACAUCGUGAUUAGUUGCAAAAUAAGGAUAAAGAGUUGACCAAAAUCAACCAAGUUUCACAAAAAGAAGUACCUCUUUUGGAUCACCCAACAUGCCAACAAUGGAUGCAUCAAUGGCGUCUUGGUUUUCGAUUCUAGACGCUCUUGCAGCCAUCAAUACAACUGCAUCGGUAUCCAAGUUACUUGGAAAUACUUCAAUCAAUGACUUGUCUACGGAGAGCUUGUUAAGAGUGAGAGUCCCUGUCUUAUCACUGCAGAGAACAUCCAUUCCAGCCAUUUCUUCAAUCGCAGUCAUCCUCUUGGUGAUGGCACCUUGUUGAGAGAGUCUAUGUGAUCCAAUAGCCAUUGUUACCGACAAAACUGUUGGCAUGGCGAUUGGGAUUCCUCCAAUCAAAAGCACCAAAAGAUUAUCAAUACCGUCUCUAUAUGUGCGGUGUUGAAUAGGGUACAUUACUACGAUCUCAAUCAACAUCCCAAUUCCAAUUGAGCAAAUACAGAAGUUACCAAUAGCUGUCAAAACCUGAACAAAAGCCAACAAAAAAAUAUGUUUGUGAGAAUGUAGGCUGACGGUUGCAUCAUCUAACUGUUGUUCGUUUCUGAAAUUAGUUUCUUACCUUUUGGAAGUGGCCAACGUUGUUGGUACUGUCGACAAGAUGGGCAGCCUUACCGAAGAAAGUGUGGACACCAGUGGCUAUGACAACGGCCUCAAUCUCACCUUGUUUGCAAGUUGAACCCGAGAAUACUUCAUCUCCAGGGUGUUUGGUGACUGGAAGAGAUUCACCGGUGAGAGCAGAUUGGUCAAUUUUCAGAGGAUCUCCUUGGAGGAGACGAGCAUCAGCAGGGACAAUGUCACCCAGUUUGACGCUUAUUAGAUCACCUGGAACUAGAAUUGAAGCGUCUUGCUCUCCCCAUUUUCCAUCUCUCAACACCUACAUUGCAUUAAAGCUCCUUUUUAAGAAUAUUUUAUAUUGAAAAAUAAGUGUAGUAGGGGAAUAUAAUUGAUAUCAUAUUGUAUCCUACUUACGCUGAAGAAAUUAGUAUCAUGAGCUAGCCAGAAAAAGAGAACUGUGGUAAGAGCCAUGUAGGUUCCUAGCACAACACCCGUAGCAAAAAUCUCAUUGAGCUUCCAUGAAUCAGGGACAGGAGAAGGUUUAACUCUGUCCUUCGAGAUAGUCAUGAUAGUUCCAUCAUUAAGGAUUGCGAUAAUCAAAACCAUGAAAGGUGCAAAAUCAAAUCGCCAUAUCAAAGCCACAAGCAUGAAUCCCAAAACAAUACGAAUGGUGAUGGAGACAGCAUAGAUCGUGUAGUUCUUCAUCCUCUGGAAGAUUGCACGACUUGUAAG